GAUGAACGCUGGCGGCGUGCCUAAUACAUGCAAGUCGAGCGAACAGACGAGGAGCGUGCUCCUCUGACGUUAGCGGCGGACGGGUGAGUAACACGUGGAUAACCUACCUAUAAGACUGGGAUAACUUCGGGAAACCGGAGCUAAUACCGGAUAAUAUAUUGAACCGCAUGGUUCAAUAGUGAAAGACGGUUUUGCUGUCACUUAUAGAUGGAUCCGCGCCGCAUUAGAUAGUUGGUAAGGUAACGGCUUACCAAGGCAACGAUGCGUAGCCGACCUGAGAGGGUGACCAGCCACACUGGAACUGAGACACGGUCCAGACUCCUACGGGAGGCAGCAGUAGGGAAUCUUCCGCAAUGGGCGCAAGCUUGACGGAGCAACGCCGCGUGAGUGAUGAAGGUCUUCGGAUCGUAAAACUCUGUUAUUAGGGAAGAACAAAUGUGUAAGUAACUAUGCACGUCUUGACGGUACCUAAUCAGAAAGCCACGGCUAACUACGUG
Molecule: ribosomal RNA, 497 nt
Filed under: uncultured bacterium
Lineage: Bacteria
Description: partial 16S ribosomal RNA
Rfam family: Bacterial small subunit ribosomal RNA
Source: RNAcentral